GCCUCUGUAGUUCAAUGGACAGAACAAAAGUUUCCUAAACUUUAGAUUUGGGUUCGAUCCCCGACAGAGGUA
This 72-nucleotide transfer RNA is filed under the name Candidatus Azobacteroides pseudotrichonymphae genomovar. CFP2. Its description in RNAcentral is "tRNA-Arg (CCT) (tRNA-Arg-CCT-1-1)". It matches the Rfam family "tRNA". From Rfam's summary of the family: Transfer RNA (tRNA) molecules are approximately 80 nucleotides in length. Their secondary structure includes four short double-helical elements and three loops (D, anti-codon, and T loops). Further hydrogen bonds mediate the characteristic L-shaped molecular structure. tRNAs have two regions of fundamental functional importance: the anti-codon, which is responsible for specific mRNA codon recognition, and the 3' end, to which the tRNAs corresponding amino acid is attached (by aminoacyl-tRNA synthetases). tRNAs cope with the degeneracy of the genetic code in two manners: having more than one tRNA (with a specific anti-codon) for a particular amino acid; and 'wobble' base-pairing, i.e. permitting non-standard base-pairing at the 3rd anti-codon position. The record is from Rfam by way of RNAcentral. RNAcentral also lists the same sequence under 1 other name. Lineage: Bacteria; Pseudomonadati; Bacteroidota; Bacteroidia; Bacteroidales.